UGCAAGUCGAGCGAAUGGAUUAAGAGCUUGCUCUUAUGAAGUUAGCGGCCGACGGGUGAGUAACACGUGGGUAACCUGCCCAUAAGACUGGGAUAACUCCGGGAAACCGGGGCUAAUACCGGAUAACAUUUUGAACCGCAUGGUUCGAAAUUGAAAGGCGGCUUCGGCUGUCACUUAUGGAUGGACCCGCGUCGCAUUAGCUAGUUGGUGAGGUAACGGCUCACCAAGGCAACGAUGCGUAGCCGACCUGAGAGGGUGAUCGGCCACACUGGGACUGAGACACGGCCCAGACUCCUACGGGAGGCAGCAGUAGGGAAUCUUCCGCAAUGGACGAAAGUCUGACGGAGCAACGCCGCGUGAGUGAUGAAGGCUUUCGGGUCGUAAAACUCUGUUGUUAGGGAAGAACAAGUGCUAGUUGAAUAAGCUGGCACCUUGACGGUACCUAACCAGAAAGCCACGGCUAACUACGUGCCAGCAGCCGCGGUAAUACGUAGGUGGCAAGCGUUAUCCGGAAUUAUUGGGCGUAAAGCGCGCGCAGGUGGUUUCUUAAGUCUGAUGUGAAAGCCCACGGCUCAACCGUGGAGGGUCAUUGGAAACUGGGAGACUUGAGUGC
This 613-nucleotide ribosomal RNA is filed under the name Bacillus sp. CSu4_24. Its description in RNAcentral is "bacterial SSU rRNA". It matches the Rfam family "Bacterial small subunit ribosomal RNA", at positions 56 to 649 of the family's 1533-position model. Lineage: Bacteria; Bacillati; Bacillota; Bacilli; Caryophanales; Bacillaceae. The record is from RNAcentral.